This is a long non-coding RNA of Bubalus bubalis (water buffalo), 937 nucleotides long. RefSeq lists it as uncharacterized. The record is from RefSeq and is a predicted model, not a curated record. NCBI's taxonomy places the organism in Eukaryota, Metazoa, Chordata, Mammalia, Artiodactyla, Bovidae. The transcript is spliced from 3 exons.
AUGCCUUUCAAGCAGCACGGUAGCCUAAACAAUAAGAUGUUUGCCUGAGUUUUCCAGGCACUUGGAGUCAGCUGUGUCUGGUUUAGGCUAAGUUGGUUAAGACUGGGCAUGUGCAAGUCUCAACUCCUUGACCUUUUGAUUUCAGAGGGCCUCAGGUCAAGCUAAGCGCCUUGGUUUAUUAAAGGCUCUCCCGAUACCUUUGACUGCCUUGCUGCAUUUUUCCUUAUCGCAUAAAUGCCACAAGCACCUUGCCUUCUGGGAAGUGGAUCUGGAGUCCUUCUGUCUCCUUGAUUGGCUGCCUUUGUCAAAAACCCUCCCUUAACUGCAAACGUCGGCAUCUCAGCAAUUUAGCUUGAUGUGAGUCAGGAAAAAUGAACCUGCUUCAGUAGCAUUACCUCUGUUGGAAAAAUGGAAGCUCAAAGUGAUUAAGUUUAAAAGUGUACCAGUAGUUAGUGGUAGAGAUCGUGUGCACAGUCUGGUCAGUUGCCUGCAGCAUUCUAGCUGCUGCGCUGGGAAAGGCUGAGCCUCCAUGGAGAAAAAGAGGCUCCAUUGUAUAGAACACUCUCCCACACGCAAGCUCCAAGAGACUUCAUGCCAGGCAGAGGACACAGGAUAUGCUGAUAAUCAAGUGUCCAAGGUUAUAUCUUUUUAUCAGAGACAAAAGCUUUUGAAUCCAAGUAAUGGGACAUUUGACUGAUAGUGGAUAUCGCCUGUAACAAGAAACUGGAAGACAGUGCUAGCUGAAUGGUUCCAUUAUGCUGAGGUUCAAUUAUGAUUUACUUGACUUUUCUCAAAUGGGCUCAGGUGGAUACUGUAGCUCCAGACAUCAUUUUUGUAUUUAAGAUGGUGGGAAGAAAUGAUUAUGACUUUGUUUUUGAAAUCAGGAAAACAAAAGUCUUUUUUUUUUUUUCAAACCCCCAGAAAACUUCUUACAUUU